This 966-nucleotide long non-coding RNA is filed under the name Sus scrofa (pig). RNAcentral's name for it is "lncRNA (ENSSSCG00015036660.1)". The record is from RNAcentral. Lineage: Eukaryota; Metazoa; Chordata; Mammalia; Artiodactyla; Suidae.
ACAUAAUACUUAUGUUUUGCACAAACCAAGUCCAAUCAAGAGGCGGAGAUGGGGAAAACUUCACGGAAAAGGUGAGUUUUGAGUUGCCCCUGUUAGGACUUAUAAGACAGGCUCCCUUAGGGUUUGCAGCAGAUGGAGUGUCUUUGCAGAUAACGGUGAUACCUAGAUCUUACUCUAGGUCGGUCCCUGUGCAGAGGGCUUCCCACGUGUAAUCCGAGUGAAGCCUCAAAACCCUUGUCUGGGGUACAGAAAAUGAGCACCUCUGUUUGUAAAGAGGGAAACGGAGGCUUUCAGAGGUUGGCCUAGGAGCGCCAGAAUACCUGGCUGCAUGUAAGAAUAUCUGAGGAGCUUUAAAAAACUACCCCUACCUGGGCUGCACCUGUUCGCUUUGAAGCUAAUCUCUAGAGAUGGGGCUUAGCCAUCUGUACCUUACACGGGUCGCCAGGUAAUUCUGAGGAACAGAGAGGGUUGGGAAGGAGUCGGUGAGAGGAAGUUCAGUGCUGCACUCAGCAUAGACCCCUUUAAACAAAUAUUCUGAACACACCAGCCAUCAUAGAGGACAAUUCAAGAAACUUCCCUGCACUUAAUACCCAGCGUACAACAAUCAACACGGCAGAUCUCGUUGGAGUCCCCCAUCUCAUCUCUCUCCCCCUCUUCUAGGAGGCACCACCCUGAACUUGAUGGUUUUCAUUACCAUGCAUUUCCUUACAGUACCUUUUAAAGGCUCACUUCCCUUUCCUCUACGGGAUGGGAUGCGUUGCAGCUGAGAAGCCCCGUGCAGAGGGGAAGCUGGGCCUCUCCACCCUUGGCGGACAGAGGGAAAAUAGAAUUUGCCUUGUGACCUUGACGUCUGUUUGGAUCCGGGAAGGUGACUGGCGUCUGGAACACGCUCCCUGGGCAGGAACUGUUUGCGCGCGGCCCGCAUCCGGGAUUUCAGGAAGACUCUUCAUGACAGAUGUCGGCUGA